AGCGAACGCUGGCGGCAGGCUUAACACAUGCAAGUCGAGCGGGCAUCCUUGUGGUGUCAGCGGCAGACGGGUGAGUAACGCGUGGGAACGUGCCCUUCGGUUCGGAAUAACUCAGGGAAACUUGAGCUAAUACCGGAUACGUGCGAGAGCAGAAAGGUUUAUCUGCCGAAGGAUCGGCCCGCGUCUGAUUAGCUAGUUGGUGAGGUUAUGGCUCACCAAGGCGACGAUCAGUAGCUGGUCUGAGAGGAUGAUCAGCCACACUGGGACUGAGACACGGCCCAGACUCCUACGGGAGGCAGCAGUGGGGAAUAUUGGACAAUGGGGGCAACCGUGAUCCAGCCAUGCCGCGUGAGUGAUGACGGCCUUAGGGUUGUAAAGCUCUUUUCUCCGGGACGAUAAUGACGGUACCGGAGGAAUAAGCCCCGGCUAACUUCGUG
This 437-nucleotide ribosomal RNA is filed under the name uncultured bacterium. RNAcentral's name for it is "partial 16S ribosomal RNA". It matches the Rfam family "Bacterial small subunit ribosomal RNA", at positions 29 to 507 of the family's 1533-position model. The record is from RNAcentral.